AAGAGACUUAGAAAUUUUAGCUUUUUAAAUGUGUGGGCUGCUGAUAAGAUUUGGCUCUGUGUCCCCACCCAAAUCUCAUCUUGAAUUGUAAUCCCCCCAUGUCUAGGGAGGGACCUGGUGGGAGGUGAUUGGAUCAUGAAGGCGGUUUCUCCCAUGCUGUUCUCAUGACAGUGAGUGAGUUUUCCUGAGAGCUGAUGGUUUUAAGUGUGGCACUUCCUCAUUCGUUCACACUCUCUCCUGCCGCCUUGUGAAGAAGGUACACCCAUUGCAAUGCAACUUUGCAGAAAUCCCUUUCAAGAGAUCAAGUCUAUUUCCCACCCCUUGAAUCUGGACAGACUUUUGACUUACUUUGGCUAAUACGAUGCAGCAAAAGCAAUCCUGUGCCAGUUGAUCAAGAGGCCCAGCAGCUCCCACUGCCUUGGACCCCUGUCCUGCUGUCAUAUAAACAAAUAUGGGCUAGCCUGCUACAGGCUGAGAGACCAUGUGAAGCAGAACCAAGUUGUUCCAGUUGAAGCCAUCCAGAUCAUCCUAUAGCCAGCUGACCCCAAAACAUGUGACAGACCCCAGCCCAGAUCAGCAGAUCUGCCUAUCCAAUCUGCAGCUGACCUGAGACACAUGAGUGAGCCCAGCUAAGACUACAAGAACCAUCCAGCUGAUCUGAAAAUUCAUUAAUCAAAUCAAUGCUUAUUGUUGUUAGCUGUAUUGCUUUUCUAUUGCUUUGUAACAAAUUACCACAAAUUUAGUGGCUUAAAACAACACCCAUUUAUUAGCUCACAGUUCUGUAAGUUAGAAAUCUGGAUGGGUUCAGUGGGGUUAGAGUCUCCUUAGAGUCUCACAACCAGUAUUUAGCUUCACUGCUGAGCCAUGUAGUGUACUAUAUUAAUAUUUCCUUUCUUAUGCAACUUGGAGUUGAUAGCUGCUGGCUUUUUUUAUUCACUUAUUUUUAUUGAUACAUAAUAUUUGCAAUUUAUGGGGUACAUGUGAUAUUUUGAUUCCGGCACACAAGGUGUAAUAAUCAAGUCAGGGUGUUUAGAAUAUCCAUCACCUUGAACAUGUAUUAUUUCCUUGUGUUGGGAGCAUUUCAAAUCUAGCUAUUUUGACAUAUAUGGCUGUUAACUAUAGUCAUUCCACUGUGCUAUUGAAUACUAGAACAUAUUCCUUCUCUCUAACUGCAGGUUUGUACCCAUUAAUAAACCUUUCUUCAUCCUUCCACCCCCACUUUCCCAGCCUCUGGCAACUAAUAUAUACAUAAUAUCUAUCUAUUCCCUUGCUGGGUAGGGGAGGGACAGUUGCUGUGUGGGUUAGAAAAAUAGGCCAGGGAGCGGGUGGGAGAUCUCACAGCUCUUUCUACAAACUCUCGUCUAAAUCCAACAUCUAAAUCCAACACAUAAACACCCUAUUAUUUCUCUCAUAAAAGCAAAACAAAACCAAAUCCAAAAAGCCUCACUCCUACUCCACCUCCCGCCUUCUGAUCUCAUGUCUCCCUUCCAUUUGUAGCAAAACUUUUUGGAAGACCUUUCUUCUGUCCAAUAUGGCAGCCCCUAGCUACAUGUGGCUCUCGAGCACUUGCAGUGUAGCCAGCAAAAUCGAGGUGCAUUGUAAGGGUAAAAUAUACACCACAUUUCAAAGACAUCAUAUGAAAAACAAUGCAAACU
Molecule: long non-coding RNA, 1655 nt
Filed under: Homo sapiens (human)
Lineage: Eukaryota; Metazoa; Chordata; Mammalia; Primates; Hominidae
Description: HSALNT0155406
Source: RNAcentral